GCUGGGCAUGGUGGCGCGUGCCUGUAAUCCCAGCUACUCAGGAAGCUGAGGCAGGAGAAUUGCUUGAACCCAGGAGGUGGAGGUUGCGGUGAGCUGAGAUCGCGCCAUUGCACUCCAGCCUGGGUAACAAGAGCAAAACUCUGUCUCAA
Molecule: unclassified non-coding RNA, 149 nt
Organism: Callithrix jacchus (white-tufted-ear marmoset)
Lineage: Eukaryota; Metazoa; Chordata; Mammalia; Primates; Cebidae
Rfam family: Metazoan signal recognition particle RNA
About the family: The signal recognition particle (SRP) is a universally conserved ribonucleoprotein. It is involved in the co-translational targeting of proteins to membranes.
Source: Ensembl